AUAAGUUAUAAAAGGCCUUGUUAAAUUCAGUAACUUUACAGUAGCUUUACAUCUGACGUUCACCAAAACUUUCACCAGGAACUUGUCUGGGUUUCGGAGUGCUAUGGUUUUGGGAUUUAUCGCCUGCAUUUGGAUUACGUUUCCCUGCCUAGCCCAGUCUGGAUUGUUCGCCCGAACACCUGACUACCGCUUUCUUCCGUGGUUCGUCUUCCGCCUGAUCCUCUCACUCUAGUCCUGUCCGUCCGAGCUUGCUUCCAGCAAGCUUUGUGGGAAUUGUUCAUGCCUGUUUUGUGUUGACGCACUUGAAACCAGAAAUUCUGGAAUUAUUCCUGGCAUACCGGAUGUGUGGCAUGUAAUGACAGACAAGUAAAGCGAAAUGGAAUUAUUUAAAGGUGGAAGCAAAAGACACAGACUGUGCAGCUAAAAGGAAAGAGAUUGAAAACCCAGACGUGCUUUAAAGAUGGCCAGCGCUUCUAUACCCCUCUAUAAUUUGGGAAGUGGCUACACCAUCGUCACUCAAGUUCUGCCCUCAACAGUGGAUCAGAAUUCCUCUCAGGCGGUCGGCCCACUGCAGAAAUUCCUGAAAGGAGAACCCAAAGCGCUGGGAACUGUCCAAAUAAUGAAUGGAAUCAUGAUAUUGCUGCUUGGUAUUUGGUUACUGAGUGACACAAGCAACACUGUGUACUUCUUUGUCAUAUUCUGUGGAUCGUUCUUUGUAAGUGUUCAGUUUUUUAAAAAUUAAAUAUAAACAAUAAUGCAAUAAUUAACAUAACUACAAUCAUUAUAUAAUUAUAUAUUAUAAUAAUAUAUAAAGUACAUUACACAGUUACAAUACAUUAGUUACAGCUCAUUUACCCCCUUAUCCUUAGCACAUCAUGGCUGGUUCUCUGACUGUUCAGCAUGCAACAAGCUUCAUCCUACUGUGGUGAAGUGGGCUAUGGCAGUGAAUAUUCUCAGUGCGAUAUCUGCAGCAAUCAUCGUCAUCAUACUUAUCCUGUAUUUGAGGUUUAACAGACUGCUGGAAUCAGUAGCAUUUUUCUGUUGGUUUUCUCUUUGCUCCAGUUCGCCGUCUCCAUCGCCAUCUCGGCUUUUGCCUGUAAAGCCACAGCCUCAAAUGAACCUACUAUCCUGAGGGAUAUGUUUCUGUGGACAACUACUUUCCAGCUCAUCAUGCUCACCCGGGGAUCAGUGCAAUUAAUGCUGUUGCCAUGCCUGUAGGAAGUCCUCCAGCAUACAGCGAGAUAAAAAGUGAAUCAGACAGCUGAAGAGAAUUUCAAAUAAGGAAUUACAGUAAAAUAGAAAACAGUAAAAUAAUAUUUUCAAUUUUCUCACAUAUGCACUGGUGAAGAACUGUAUUAUAAGGAAAUUAAAUCGUGUAUUUUUGUUAGUUUUUGCUGCAGUUGCUCCACACGUUUUAAAUUUUGGGAAUCUAAAUUGUACUCUAUUAAUAAUACUCUGUAUUAUUUUCUUCUAAAAUAAUAAUAAUAAUAAAGUAUACCACAGUGAUGUUGAAUUCUGGAUUCUGAUUGGUCAGGAAGUGUUCAUUAAUUUUAUAUAGGUCAUUAUUAAUAGGCUUCUUAUUUUGCUAUUGGUUCUGCACAGGGCAUCAGCUUUUCCAUUUUACAUUCCGUUUGGCUCAUUGCCCAAGAAACUGAAUCUUUGGUGAGCUGUUAUUGCCAACAGCUUUGCACCUAAGUACUGAUGUUAAUUUAUGGUGUCUAAAUACUUUUUUUCUGUUUUAUAUUUCCCUUCAAUCUUUUUAUUACAUUUCCUGAGUCAUUUAUUCCAUUUUUUUUUUUAACAAGUGUAGAUUAUAUUAAUUCAUCUAUUAAAAUUAAUUCAUUAUAUUAAUUCAUCUGUAUGGGAAGAUAGUAUUAGCCAUUUAAUGUUGAAUGUUU
Ictalurus punctatus (channel catfish) is the source of this 1898-nucleotide long non-coding RNA. The record is from Ensembl. Lineage: Eukaryota; Metazoa; Chordata; Actinopteri; Siluriformes; Ictaluridae.